Molecule: ribosomal RNA, 392 nt
Filed under: uncultured bacterium
Lineage: Bacteria
Description: bacterial SSU rRNA
Rfam family: Bacterial small subunit ribosomal RNA
Source: RNAcentral
UGGGGAAUUUUGCGCAAUGGGGGAAACCCUGACGCAGCAACGCCGCGUGAGUGAUGAAGGCCUUCGGGUCGUAAAUCUCUGUCAGAGGGGAAGAAAUGCAGGGGUGCUAAUAUCAUCUUUGCUUGACGGUACCCUCAAAGGAAGCACCGGCUAACUCCGUGCCAGCAGCCGCGGUAAUACGGAGGGUGCGAGCGUUGUUCGGUAUUUUUGGGCGUAACGCGCGCGUAGGCGGUUUGGUAAGUCUGAUGUGAAAGCACCGUGCUCAACCUAGGAAGUGCAUUGGAAACUGUCAACCUUGAAUAAGGGAAAGAGUAGUGGACUUCCUAGUGUAGGAGUGAAAUCCGUAGAUAUUAGGAGGAAAACCGGUGGCGAAGGCGGCUACCUGGACCGAU